UCCAGGGCAGUGGCUACAAUAUUGGCCUGGUGGUAGGAGACAAAGUCAUCGUUUCGACUGGAGACCUGUGAUCAAAAGUGUGACUCAGGGAUCGAGUCAAGUCUGCUGCGGCAAUUCAUUUAUUAAAGACUCGGCUGACAAUAUCAAUGCCCGGAUCUGCAAAUUUACCGAUGCCACUAAAGUUGGUGAUAUCGUGGAUUGUGGAAAAAAAUGUAACCAGCAAUACAACAGGACGGUGAUGAAUGAGACGCUGCCUCGCCUGCGAAGUAUUUUCGGCAGUUUCAGCUUUUAGUUCAGGAACAAAGAAGGACUAUCCAGCUUUUCCAGCUUGCUCCGCCAGUCAGUCCGAACCUGCCUGGAUGUCUCGAAAUUUCGGUAUGGAUCCCCCUUCACCAUUCCUCUUCUCCUGUUCCCUCUCUUACCGUAUCUCCUUGCUUGCCCAUCGCCUCCCUCUGGUUCUCCUCCUCCCUUUGCUUUCUUUCAUGUCCAUCUGUCCACUCCUAUCAGACUCCCUCUUUUCUUUUGCCAAACAACUUCCCAACUGUUUGCUUCACCCCAGCCCCUGCCGGUUUCACCAAUCGCCUUGCUUCUCCUUUUCCUCUCUCCACCUUCUAAUUCUACCACUCAUCUUUUUUUGUCUCCUCCAGUCUUGCUGAAGGGUCUCGGCCCGAAUUCUCUUUUCCAUUGAUGCUGCCUGGCCUGCUGAGUUCGUCAAGAACUUUGGAGAGGAAUCCAUUGGGCGAGACGUGGAUGUUGUUUCACACCGUUGUGUAGGAGACGAAAAAUUUGAGGCCCGCAGCUUUAUUAUCUGGGACAGGUUUGUGGAAGAAGACGGCACCAAACGGAAAGCUUAUGUAUUGACAUACAAGAAAAGAAUCCGUGGAAUUCAUUGCUGACGAAGCCAAGACAUUUGGUAUAUUAAAAGCGGAUGGCUCUAGAGGUAAAGUAAUUAGAUAUAUUUAAAGCGGACGUAAGUAAGUUAUUAAAUAUUAAGAGUGACACACUUUAUGGGAAGACGGCAGGAGAACAGGAUUAGGAGGGAUAAUAAAUCAGCCACGAUGUAAUGGAGGAUCUGACUCCAGGGGCCGAAUGACAUAAUAAUGUUCCUAUGUCUGAUGAUAGAAUGGGGGAACAGACUCCAUUGGCCGAAUGACAUAAUAUUAUUCCUAUGUCUGAUGAUGAUCACCCGACGGAGAAUCUCACCAGGUCCCUCAACACCAGCUCCAUAGCAAAGAAAGCCCAGCAGCGUCUCUACUUUCGGCGAAGUCUGAGGAAAGUCCAUCUCCCAC
Molecule: long non-coding RNA, 1289 nt
Organism: Hypanus sabinus (Atlantic stingray)
Lineage: Eukaryota; Metazoa; Chordata; Chondrichthyes; Myliobatiformes; Dasyatidae
Exons: 3
Source: RefSeq, a predicted model, not a curated record